Orcinus orca (killer whale) is the source of this 4235-nucleotide RNA transcript. RefSeq lists it as uncharacterized. The transcript has a single exon. The record is from RefSeq and is a predicted model, not a curated record. Lineage: Eukaryota; Metazoa; Chordata; Mammalia; Artiodactyla; Delphinidae.
CCAGCUAAACACGGAGAACUUGUUUCAGAUGGCUGCAGAAGGUUCUUACCCAUUGGAUCAACCUUCCUAUCACCACAGAAAGGGUUCUUCUGGGGAUGUGGCCAACACUCCCCAAGGUGUGCCUUCUUCUAAGGAUGCUCAUCUUGUUCCUCAGAAUAAGGCACUACCUUCUCAAAGGGAAUUUCUGAGACUGUAGAAAAAGUUCUUCUUCUACCCAAACCUGCACUGAAUGAUGUAAAGUCUGUAUUACAAAAGCUACUUAGAGAAGCUUUGUUGACUUAUCCAGUUGGGAGGGAAGUAGUUUCUGGAGGAGUAAAAGCAGAAUUUCCUGAAGGCGUGCAGGUAGAAGGUAGCCCCUCAAAUUCUCUGGGAGUUAUCCCAUCACAGACUACGAUGGACAGCAUAGUUCCAGACAGAAAGGAUUUGUAUUCCUUCAGUGUAGUUCCUGAUAAAACUCAUAAAGUUGGAUCUUAUUUAGCUGCCCAAAUGCCUCCAUCAGAGCAAACCCUUAGCUCAUCUGCUUCUACUGUUGCUCAGGAUGGCAAAGAGUUAUCUCAGGAAGUGACAGAAACUGUGAGGGAAACAAUUAUUCAACCUAAAUCAGAGCUCCUUGAAUUCAGUGCUGUCUUAGAAAAACUACUGAAGGAAACAAUUGAAACCCCCUGCUCAAAAUAUGACAGUGAUACAGGGACCCUUUAUUCAUCAAAGUUAAUAGGUAGUACUGAGGUGCCCAGGCAGGCUGCUUCUGAAUUCCAUCCUAAGGAAAUAAAAGAAACAGUAGAAAAGCCUGAGGCUCCAUCAAUUACUGGGAGUGCUUUUGAGAUUGGCUUUGAGAAACUCCUUAAAGAAUCAUCUAACGGUCCUUCUUAUCAGCUCCAAGUGUCAGUGAAGGAAGAAACUCCUGAGAAGGAGCCUUCACAGUCAAAGCAGGCCAGGUUCUUGGGGAAAGUGCCCUCUUUUUACUGGACAGCCUCAAAGGCCUCGGAAAUGAAACUUAAGAGUAAUGUUUUCAAAUCUCAAGUCAGGCAACGUGAUAAAGUGUUGGGAAGAGACAAAGCUGGCUGAUUUACCAAUAGAUCUCUGUGGUUUUGAAAGUGGGGUUGAGAUCCCUGGAACCUCACAACUUUCUGUGGACCAUGAAAUAGGGACCACUGAAACUAUAAAACCCCCAGAGGACAGGAAUUAUGAAAGUGAGGUUGCAGUAGUUUGAGAAGGGGCUUUUCAGGAGCUUGGUUUCAAAGAGGCUCCUGAAGCAAUGAACGUGCCCAGAAAUAGGCAACCCAUUCCUCUCCUGACAGACAAAGAAAACUCUACAAAAAUAAGUAAAGUUGAAUUGAUUCUGGCAUCACCAUAUAAGAGACAAGAGAAAAAGGAAGAAAAGGAAGGUUUCUCUGACUUUGAUAUUUCAGAUGGAAACAUCAGUUCUAAGGCAGAAAGCUGCAGAAAUACCUCCAGCGAGCAUUUUGAAGUUUUUAACUGAUUGGUUAAUGAGUUGAUUUAUGUAAUGCUGACAUAAAGGAUGGUGUAGUUUUUAGAAUUGGGAUUAAUUUGACAAUCCCAAAUAGUACUAAAUUCUUCUUUGUACUUCAGUUCUCCCUAGAUUUUCUUAAUAAAAAACUACAUUUCCUUUUAUCUUCUUUAAUCAAAUGAGUUACAUAGAGAUAGCUUUACCCAUCAGGCAGUGUUUCAGAAUCUGACUUUAUUCUCACUGAUCAGUGAUAGAAUUUUUAGGUUUCAAAAAUAUUUUUUAAAGAACUUUUGGGGUUUAGAGAGUACCUCUAAAACAUCCAAGUGUGCUUUUCUCUUGGAGCUAAUUAGAAUUUCCUAAUUGGCAGUCCAUACAGGAGUCUCUAGUAAGAUUUGUGGCAAGAAACUCCCAUAUUGGUCACACAUUUCCCUUUUAAGAACAGUAGUUUACCACAUUAGUGGCUAAGUACCAGGAACAAAGUGCAAGGCUGGAAGUUUCCCUGAGAUACCUUGGGCUGUGGUGUUUCUGUUGCCACUCUCUCCCUCUUGUUUGCAAUUAUCUGCAGGAUCCUCCCCUUCUAGGGUAUGCCUCAGUCUGAUGACCUCACCUGAUUCCACCUAUAAGGGCAUUGCCUGGCCUGCUGCAUUUCUUUGGCUCCAGCCUUAGCUAAGUGGAUGGAGAUCUUAAUCAAUUACCAUAGUCACCUAAGUGGACUUGGGCUUCUGGUUUCAGCCAGGCUAUAAAAGAUAGGGCUUGUCUCAGUUUGCUAUUCUGAGCAACCUGGCUAUUUUGGGAGAGAAACCCAGGGACAAAUAGGGAUUAGAAGUUAGCUGAUUAGAAUGAUGAAAUGAUAAAGGAUGCUCUCUGGCUGGAACAUUUUAACCAAAGUUGCACAACGACUAAUGUUGAUCACCUUCCUUAGUAGAAAAUUAAUAGAAUUUGUCAUUUUCUGGCUCCCUUCAGUCUCAAUGAGAACAAAUGAGCUUUACUGAGUGGCUGAUUGGUGAGGUUUGGGCUCCUUUGCAAGUAGCUGUAGGGCCUAUUAUUGAAAAGUGACCAAAGAAUCCACCUUUAAUCCUAAGUAAUCAAGCUGAAGCCCCUUUAACAUUUAUAACUGGUGAGAAAAGGAAAAUGAAAUACCAGUCUCUCAAACCAGACAUAUGCAAGAGUGUUAAGGCAACAUCUUAAACUUGUUGAAGUAGACUUUUACUAAGCUACCCCAUGAGUUACUGGGCCAAAUUGACCUAUAGGAGGCGAAGGGCUUGUAAAUUUGCACUUACUUUACAGACUAUUGCUUAAUGUAUAUGGCUGUGUUAAAGUAUACCAGCGUAACUGAUUGAACAGCAAAAAAGCCUAUCUAAAAAAGAAAUAAUCAAUAUAAUAAAUAAACCACCAAAAAAAUAACCACCCAGACAGACAGAGCCCAGAGAAGAUAUUUUAAAAUUAUAAGCCAAGUAGUAGGUAUAAAAUAGUACAUAGUUUUGUAUCUUCUAACCUAAAUUAUUAUUUUUUAAAUAAAUGGGUGGGGGUGGAGUGAGAGUAGGGAAGAACCUGACAACAAGGCACCAUAACUUUGAUGAGCAGCCUAACAUGUUUGACUUGUGGCUGAGCUCUUAACCAACCAAUACCUCAGUAUGUUCCUUUAAAAAGGGGGAGGGAAUGCUGGGAGAUCAUGCACAUAAUUAGUACACUAAAGCAUAUUAAAGUCGCUAAGAAGGUCUGCAGUAAGAAACCAUUUAAGUUUGAACACAGAGCGUCCCAAAUCUAAUUCAUCUUAGGAUCCAUUUACUGGAGAAUGCCUAUUAACAUUGGGCAGAACUGGGAUGCAUUUCAGGAAAGUAUUGUCUAGAGAAGUAGUUUCCAAAUUCAUCAACUCAUUAAUGGAAUCAUUCGUUGAUUUAGCAAACAUUUUCGAAGUGCCUGUUGCCAGCCACUGUUCUAGUCACUGAGACUACAACAGUGAUGAAUGAGAGUACUCAGACCAGGGCUUAUCCAUGAUGGAGUUUCCACUGUCAAAAUGGAACAAUUAAGGACUAUCUAGAGAAAAACUUUUAUAAAAUUAGAUGUAUUUAAAGAACUGUUCUUAUUUUCUGGUUAUGCGCUUUUUUCUUCCUAUUUUUUUCCCUUGUGGUCCUAAAAUGCCUUUCCUUUUAUAAAAUAAAGGCAUUAGUAGAUAAUAGAGACCUCCCCCCACACACACACAAAUGCCUUAGUAAAAUAAAAAGUUGACUACCUCAUGUCAUUACCCAACAUUUUGUUGGAAAUUUCACCAGUUCAUGAAACCCAAAAAGCCUACAUUUGUUGAUCUGGAGAAUUCACCCAUCUGUGUACCCAAUUAUACACAGAUGUUAAAACAUCUGAAUCCUGCCUUCUAUGGUUUUCAGCUAAUUAUUUUAAUGCUCCUAAAACCAUUUUGUGGCUGUCUUCAAAAGCUAGAAGUGAAGGGGAAAGAGUCAAAGUCUGGCACAGAACAAGUCAUGUGCCUAAAAUAGAGGUGUAAAAGACUAAGAGAGCACAUUUCUAUUAAUGUGGGAAUCUUGUUAAUCUUGUUUCUGUAUCAUUUAUGCUUACAAAUGUUUCUUGACCAGGAAAGUUACUUAAAGAAUAUACUAAUAUUCUUUAGUGGAGAAAUUUUAUUUUCUUCUGUUGGAGUGCUUCACAGAGUGAAUAAAAGUGUAGAGGCUUAUGGCAUAAUGCCUCCUUUCAACCUACCAUUUCAGUGUCCAUUGAUUAUUAAGAGUUUGGUUGUUUUCUUUUUUCUUUUGUG